RNAcentral lists this ribosomal RNA (377 nucleotides) under uncultured eukaryote. RNAcentral's name for it is "SSU rRNA". It matches the Rfam family "Eukaryotic small subunit ribosomal RNA", at positions 587 to 972 of the family's 1831-position model. The record is from RNAcentral.
AGCUCCAAUAGCGUAUAUUAAAGUUGUUGCAGUUAAAAAGCUCGUAGUUGAAGUGUCGACAGAGUCAUGUUGAAACAUUGCCGAGGUAGUGUUGACGUGACAUUUGUCAGCGCAAUGGAUAUUCUGGGUGCUUCGUUGCACUCAGAUGUACAUUUGGUUUUACUUUGAGAAACAUAGGGUGUUUCAAGCAUGUUGAUAGCAUGUAUAUUCCAGCAUGGGAUGAUUUGACGCGACUUUGGUGCUGCCAUUUGGUUCGUGGUGCCAGAGUCAUGAUUAAUAGGGACUGUCGGGGGCAUUGGUAUUUAACUGUCAGAGGUGAAAUUCUUAGAUUUGUUAAGGACUGACUACUGCGAAAGCAUUUGUCAAGAAUGUCUCCA